GACGAACGCUGGCGGCGUGCUUAACACAUGCAAGUCGAACGGAAAGGCCCUGCUUGCAGGGUACUCGAGUGGCGAACGGGUGAGUAACACGUGGGUGAUCUGCCCUGCACUUCGGGAUAAGCCUGGGAAACUGGGUCUAAUACCGGAUAGGAGCCAUUUUUAGUGUGAUGGUUGGAAAGUUUUUUCGGUGUAGGAUGAGCUCGCGGCCUAUCAGCUUGUUGGUGGGGUAAUGGCCUACCAAGGCGGCGACGGGUAGCCGGCCUGAGAGGGUGGACGGCCACAUUGGGACUGAGAUUCGGCCCAGACUCCUACGGGAGGCAGCAGUGGGGAAUAUUGCACAAUGGGCGCAAGCCUGAUGCAGCGACGCCGCGUGGGGGAUGACGGCCUUCGGGUUGUAAACUCCUUUCGCUAGGGACGAAGCUUUUUGUGACGGUACCUAGAUAAGAAGCACCGGCUAACUACGUG
Molecule: ribosomal RNA, 465 nt
Filed under: uncultured bacterium
Lineage: Bacteria
Description: partial 16S ribosomal RNA
Rfam family: Bacterial small subunit ribosomal RNA
Source: RNAcentral